ACGGGAGGCAGCAGUGGGGAAUAUUGCACAAUGGGGGAAACCCUGAUGCAGCGACGCCGCGUGAGUGAAGAAGUUAUUCGUAAUGUAAAGCUCUAUCAGCAGGGAAGAAAAUGACGGUACUUGACUAAGAAGCUCCGGCUAAAUACGUGCCAGCAGCCGCGGUAAUACGUAUGGAGCAAGCGUUAUCCGGAUUUACUGGGUGUAAAGGGAGCGUAGACGGCAAAGCAAGUCUGAAGUGAAAUCCCGGGGCUCAACCCCGGAACUGCUUUGGAAACUGUUUAGCUAGAGUGCAGGAGAGGUAAGCGGAAUUCCUAGUGUAGCGGUGAAAUGCGUAGAUAUUAGGAGGAACACCAGUGGCGAAGGCGGCUUACUGGACUGUAACUGACGUUGAGGCUCGAAAGCGUGGGGAGCAAACAGGAUUAGAUACCCUGGUA
This 434-nucleotide ribosomal RNA is filed under the name uncultured Clostridium sp. Its description in RNAcentral is "partial 16S ribosomal RNA". It matches the Rfam family "Bacterial small subunit ribosomal RNA", at positions 341 to 792 of the family's 1533-position model. The record is from RNAcentral. Lineage: Bacteria; Bacillati; Bacillota; Clostridia; Eubacteriales; Clostridiaceae.